RNAcentral lists this ribosomal RNA (117 nucleotides) under Esox lucius (northern pike). Lineage: Eukaryota; Metazoa; Chordata; Actinopteri; Esociformes; Esocidae. The record is from RNAcentral.
GCUUACGGCCACACCUCCUGAGCACGCCCGAUCUCGUCUGAUCUCGGAAGCUAAGCAGGUCGGGCCCGGUUAGUACUUGGAUGGGAGACCGCCUGGGAAUACCAGGUGCUGUACGCC